This is a long non-coding RNA of Anguilla rostrata (American eel), 495 nucleotides long. RefSeq lists it as uncharacterized. The record is from RefSeq and is a predicted model, not a curated record. The transcript is spliced from 3 exons. Lineage: Eukaryota; Metazoa; Chordata; Actinopteri; Anguilliformes; Anguillidae.
CGCGGAAAUACUGCGCUACAACACGUCUGCGGGGUCUGCGUGUCCAAAGCGUGCUCAUGCAGGGCCCCGGACUCCCCCGCUGGGUAGAGCGGCAGGUAGAGAGACAGGUAGAGCGGCAGGUAGAGAGACAGGUAGAGCGGCAGGUAGAGAGACAGGCAGAGCAGCAGGUAGAGAGACAGGUAGAGCGGCAUGAUGAGAGACAGGUAGAGCGGCAUGAUGAGAGACAGGUAGAGCAGCAGGUAGAGAGACAGGUAGAGCGGCAUGAUGAGAGACAGGUAGAGCAGCAGGUAGAGAGACAGGUAGAGCGGCAAGUAGAGAGACAGGUAGAGCGGCAGAUAGAGAGACAGGUAGAGCGGCAGGUAGAGAGACAGGUAGAGAGACAAGUUGGCGUUGUUGUUACAGAAACCCUGGGGUCCCUUGCUUGGCUGCAUGGUGAUUGGUUCUGGUGUGUUGUUGUGGGCGUGGCUGAAGCUGAGACUCAGGGUUCAGUUGCUU